RNAcentral lists this long non-coding RNA (403 nucleotides) under Elaeis guineensis (African oil palm). RNAcentral's name for it is "long non-coding RNA (EGUI_LNC023322)". Lineage: Eukaryota; Viridiplantae; Streptophyta; Magnoliopsida; Arecales; Arecaceae. The record is from RNAcentral.
CCAAAGAAGAUAGAAGCCCACCCAAACAUCACAUCUCAAAAAAGAUAUUCGGCCCCUUUUUCCCUCUGGUAUCUCAUGGUAAAAAUUAGAGAGUAGUUGGCACACAAAAAUAUGAGCAUUUUAUAGUUGUCGCACAAAUGGGAUUAGAUAGGAUAAGAGCUGGAGUUUGUUGCAAUUCAAAUUAUUUUAAAUUUUAAUUUAACUCUAAUUUUUUUUACCCUUAUCUAACUUAAAGAGGGACCUAUUAGAGAAUUUUGGUUAUGGAAAACAAUCAAGAAUACUUCCUUUUGGUUGUAGAUAAUAGGCACAUUCAUAAAGAGCCAACGUGUGGAAGGAUAGGGAUAAGAUUUUAGGUUUAAAUUCAAACCUUUUGAAUUUAAUUUAAAAUCAACCAAAUCCUAUC